AGAUUGGUACAUGUAAUCGAGUAGUGAAGGUGGUGGAGGAGGCUGUGUACGUCUGUUGGCCUCUUUAAUUUGUCUUUGCUCAUCCAGCUGCCUCUGCAGUUUUGCAAUCAUACGCCACGCAGCUUCAAUAUCAAAAAUCUCAGCCAUCGCUCUUUUCUUCUUCUCACGGUUAUCCAACAGCUGAGACACCAAAUAGAAAAAAAAAAGAAACAAGAAAACAAAAAAUAAAUAAAAAUAAAAAUAAAACUUAUAACGCCUGAAAUAAUACUUAAGUCCAGUCAGAAAUAUUAAAGUAAAUUCUAAAUAGUCCCCGGCAACGGCGCCAAAAAGUUGAUCACUAAUUUCUUAGCAACAAAAACCGCAACUAACACAGGCAAUUGUAGCAAGUAAAAGUAACCGAGUAUCG
Molecule: long non-coding RNA, 406 nt
Filed under: Salvia miltiorrhiza (redroot sage)
Lineage: Eukaryota; Viridiplantae; Streptophyta; Magnoliopsida; Lamiales; Lamiaceae
Description: long non-coding RNA (SMIL_LNC009301)
Source: RNAcentral